GUUUGGGUCCUGCGCAACGGGAACCCGUGAAUUCUGUCAGGUCCGGAAGGAAGCAGCAGUAAGCGGUCUUUCUCGUGUGCCGCAGAGCAACCUGAACUGA
RNAcentral lists this signal recognition particle RNA (100 nucleotides) under Paraliobacillus sp. PM-2. Its description in RNAcentral is "Bacteria_small_SRP". It matches the Rfam family "Bacterial small signal recognition particle RNA". Rfam says of the family: The signal recognition particle (SRP) is a universally conserved ribonucleoprotein involved in the co-translational targeting of proteins to membranes. Archaeal SRP consists of a 7S RNA and homologues of the eukaryotic SRP19 and SRP54 proteins. In most bacteria, the SRP consists of a 4.5S RNA and the Ffh protein (a homologue of the eukaryotic SRP54 protein). Lineage: Bacteria; Bacillati; Bacillota; Bacilli; Caryophanales; Bacillaceae. The record is from RNAcentral.